RNAcentral lists this ribosomal RNA (371 nucleotides) under uncultured Glomeromycotina. Its description in RNAcentral is "eukaryotic LSU rRNA". Lineage: Eukaryota; Fungi; Glomeromycota. The record is from RNAcentral.
UUGAAAGGGAAACGAUUGAAGUCAGUCGUACCGACGAGAAAUCAGCUUAUCGUGUGUUAACUUGUGGGCGUGCGUGAGCUUCGGCCUCGCUGUUUGCAUGUUUGUGCGCUUUGGGUGUACUUUUUCGUAUGGUUGGCCAACAUCAGUUUCGAUUACUAUAAAAUGACUGGCGGAAUGUAGCUUCGAUUUCGGUUGAAGUGUUAUAGCCUCUGGUAGAUGUGGUGAUUGAGACUGAGGAUUGCAACGAAUAUCCUUUGGGCUAUCCGUCUGGCCUCUGAAAGUUGCUUGGGUGCUGAAAGCUUGCUUAUGGUUAUCUAAGUUAACGGUCAAUAGGUUAGAACGUGAUUACAUUCGUUAAGGAUGUUGACGUA